This 346-nucleotide long non-coding RNA is filed under the name Nicotiana benthamiana. RNAcentral describes it as "long non-coding RNA (NBEN_LNC035909)". Lineage: Eukaryota; Viridiplantae; Streptophyta; Magnoliopsida; Solanales; Solanaceae. The record is from RNAcentral.
UGGCCUUAUUAAAUCCAACUGAAUGCCUAUUAGUAUGGACAUUGAAAGACACAGAGUCUGGAUUAAAGUGAGAAGGAGACUGGACUUGUCUUUGCUUCUUAUCAUUGAGGACCAUAUUAUAGACACUGUCAAGGGUUGGAGGUGGCUGCAUCAUCAAAAGGUUACUCCUUACCCCCAUGUAUGCUUCAUUAAGGCGCAUUAGAAACUGAAAUACCUUAUUUUCAUCAUUUUCCUGUAUUAUACCAUCUUUGGCAGCACAACACAUCUUUGUCCAUGAUUGGCACACAUUGAUUCUAAUUCAUCCCACAUACCUUUCCGUUUAUUAAAAUAUGAAGCUACAUCUAGG